RNAcentral lists this ribosomal RNA (540 nucleotides) under uncultured Spirochaetota bacterium. RNAcentral describes it as "bacterial SSU rRNA". It matches the Rfam family "Bacterial small subunit ribosomal RNA", at positions 8 to 536 of the family's 1533-position model. Lineage: Bacteria; Pseudomonadati; Spirochaetota. The record is from RNAcentral.
AGAGUUUGAUCAUGGCUCAGAACAAACGCUGGCGGCGUGUCUUAAGCAUGCAAGUUGAGCGGCAAGGAGGAGAGAUCCUCCCUAGAGCGGCGGACUGGUGAGUAACGCGUGGGUAAUCUAUCAUAGGCAUGGGGAUAGUCACUAGAAAUAGUGGGUAAUACCGAAUACGUUCCAUGAGGGGAGUAUUCAUGGAAGAAAGGGUGCUACGGCACUGGCCUUAGGUGAGCUCGCGUCCCAUUAGCUAGUUGGUGAGGUAAAGGCCCACCAAGGCGAUGAUGGGUAGCCGGCCUGAGAGGGUGUACGGCCACACUGGGACUGAGAUACGGCCCAGACUCCUACGGGAGGCAGCAGCUAAGAAUAUUCCGCAAUGGACGAAAGUCUGACGGAGCGACGCCGCGUGGAUGAAGAAGGCCGAAAGGUUGUAAAGUUCUUUUGCUAGGGGAGAAUAAGUGAGGGAGGGAAUGCCCUCAUGAUGACAAGGACUAGCGAAUAAGCCCCGGCCAACUACGUGCCAGCAGCCGCGGUAACACGUAGGGGGCG